GACGAACGCUGGCGGCGUGCUUAACACAUGCAAGUCGAGCGGUAAGGCCCUUUCGGGGGUACACGAGCGGCGAACGGGUGAGUAACACGUGGGUGACCUGCCCUCAGCUCUGGGAUAAGCCUGGGAAACCGGGUCUAAUACCGGAUAUGACUCCAUGACGCAUGUUGUGGGGUGAAAGCCUUGUGCGGCUGAGGAUGGGGCCCGCGGCCUAUCAGCUUGUUGGUGGGGUGAUGGCCUACCAAGGCGACGACGGGUAGCCGGCCUGAGAGGGCGACCGGCCACACUGGGACUGAGACACGGCCCAGACUCCUACGGGAGCAGCAGUAGGAAUCUUGCGCAAUGGGCGAAAGCCUGACGCAGCAACGCCGCGUGGGGA
RNAcentral lists this ribosomal RNA (376 nucleotides) under uncultured bacterium. RNAcentral's name for it is "bacterial SSU rRNA". It matches the Rfam family "Bacterial small subunit ribosomal RNA", at positions 28 to 407 of the family's 1533-position model. The record is from RNAcentral.